UGGGGAAUAUUGCACAAUGGGCGAAAGCCUGAUGCAGCGACGCCGCGUGAGGGAGGACGGCCUUCGGGUUGUAAACCUCUUUCAGUAGGGACGAAGCGCAAGUGACGGUACCUGCAGAAGAAGCACCGGCUAACUACGUGCCAGCAGCCGCGGUAAUACGUAGGGGGCGAGCGUUGUCCGGAAUUACUGGGCGUAAAGAGCUCGUAGGCGGUUUGUCACGUCGUCUGUGAAAUCCUAGGGCUUAACCCUGGACGUGCAGGCGAUACGGGCUGACUUGAGUACUACAGGGGAGACUGGAAUUUCUGGUGUAGCGGUGGAAUGCACAGAUAUCAGGAAGAACACCGAUGGCGAAGGCAGGUCUCUGGGUAGUAACUGACGCUGAGGAGCGAAAGCAUGGGUAGCGAACAGG
RNAcentral lists this ribosomal RNA (409 nucleotides) under bacterium. RNAcentral's name for it is "partial 16S ribosomal RNA". It matches the Rfam family "Bacterial small subunit ribosomal RNA", at positions 355 to 776 of the family's 1533-position model. The record is from RNAcentral.